Long non-coding RNA from Cercocebus atys (sooty mangabey), 1367 nucleotides. RefSeq lists it as uncharacterized. The record is from RefSeq and is a predicted model, not a curated record. The transcript is spliced from 3 exons. Lineage: Eukaryota; Metazoa; Chordata; Mammalia; Primates; Cercopithecidae.
AGCAGAAUGCUCGUGGCUUCAUUUAAAAAAAAAUUUUUUUUUUAAUCACAAGGAAUGCUGUUGCAAAUUUAGUGUCUUCCUACUAUAACUACAAACUUAAAUUCACCAAAACAAUUUUUAACUUUAUACUAUGUAUAGUCAGUGUAGUAAAAGUAUAACAUAUUACUGCAGCAUUUGAUGUAUUAAUUUAAAAAUGACUCUAACUCUUAGAUUCUCCAAAGCAUUUAUUAUGGUAUGUGUUUAAGAUUUGAUUAACCGAAAGUUUGAUUAAUUUUCAAGUAAGUUUUUUUGAAGGGGAAUAGGAAGGAAGAAUAGGAAAAGAAGUUGAAAUCCAGCCCUAUUUGUGAAAAAGGAACCUCAAGAUACACCCUGGGUCAGUUUAAUCACCUUUACCUUCUUAUUUUAUAUUGCUGUAUAAUGAGACUUGACCUUGAGCUUUCUAAUCGUUAAUCCUCAAAGAUGGCCAUUAUUUUUAUUACUGAGUCUAACAUUUUGAGCAUUAACUAUGAACCAGAACCUAUUUUAAAUUAUUUGUAUGUAUUAACUCUCAGUUCUCACCACAAAGAUAUGUAUUAUAACUGCCCCCAUUUUACAUGUAGGGAAAAGGAGACUUCAUAAACAUCUUCAGCAACUUGCCCCAAAUUAUGCAGAAGUCAGAGCCUGCACGCUUAACUCCAAUACCAUAUAGCAUUAUGUUUACUAGCCAGUGCAAACUGAGCAACUAUCUGUCAAUGAACCAGCUUUUAUUGUAGUCCUACUCUGUCCUCUCCCCUGGGUGACUGCAGUCUCCCACUCCUAGAACCCACAUAACGCCCUCCCUUGAGUGGCCAGAUUCUCCCCUUGCACAGACUUCUUCCUUCCGCCGUGAAGCAUAUAUAGUUCUCUUCUAGCUAGGGGGGAAAAAAAGCCUUAUCAUAACCCUGUUACCCUCUCGAGCUGUCAUUAUUUUCUUCUUUUCACAGCCCCAGACCCACUGCAUCUUCUAGCCUUUGCACUCUGUGUUCCCUCAUACCAGCCGUCACCACUGGCCUUCCAUUUGCCCGCCAAGUAGCAGUUUCCCGGGCAUCAUUGUCAGGGACCUCUCUGCAGUCCUGAGGGUCUCUUCUUGGCUAUCCAUGAUCCUAUACUCUUGGGGUUUUCCUUUGCCUCCUUGGUCCCUGUGUCUGGCUCCUUUUUCCCCUCCUGUCCCUGAAUGUGGCUGUUCUGCAAGCAAGAAGGUGUCUCAGCAGCAAGGAUUUAAGGCAUGCACUGCGUGCUAUGAUGCCAGUUUUACUGUUGCUAAUGGAUUAAUCCACUGUGAGUGUGAUAACUCCUGUAUUCUGAAAGGGUUUCGCCAUUUUGGCCAGGCUGGUCUUGAACUCCUGACC